GUGGUGCAUGUCUAGUAUAGCAUCUAUACUGUGAAACUGCGAAUGGCUCAUUAAAUCAGUUAUCGUUUAUUUGAUAGUACCUUACUACUUGGAUAACCGUGGUAAUUCUAGAGCUAAUACAUGCUAAAAACCCCGACUUCGGAAGGGGUGUAUUUAUUAGAUAAAAAACCAAUGCCCUUCGGGGCUCCUUGGUGAUUCAUGAUAACUUAACGAAUCGCAUGGCCUUGCGCCGGCGAUGGUUCAUUCAAAUUUCUGCCCUAUCAACUUUCGAUGGUAGGAUAGUGGCCUACCAUGGUAUCAACGGGUAACGGGGAAUUAGGGUUCUAUUCCGGAGAGGGAGCCUGAGAAACGGCUACCACAUCCAAGGAAGGCAGCAGGCGCGCAAAUUACCCAAUCCCGACACGGGGAGGUAGUGACAAUAAAUACUGAUACAGGGCUCUUUUGGGUCUUGUAAUUGGAAUGAGUACAAUUUAAAUACCUUAACGAGGAACAAUUGGAGGGCAAGUCUGGUGCCAGCAGCCGCGGUAAUUCCAGCUCCAAUAGCGUAUAUUAAAGUUGUUGCAGUUAAAAAGCUCGUAGUUGAACCUUGGGCCUGGCUGGCCGGUCCGCCUCACCGCGUGUACUGGUCCGGCCGGGCCUUUCCUUCUGGGGAUCCUCAUGCCCUUCACUGGGUGUGCUGGGGAACCAGGACUUUUACUUUGAAAAAAUUAGAGUGUUCAAAGCAGGCCUUUACUCGAAUACAUUAGCAUGGAAUAAUAGAAUAGGACGUGCGGUCCUAUUUUGUUGGUUUCUAGGACCGCCGUAAUGAUUAAUAGGGAUAGUCGGGGGCAUCAGUAUUCAAUUGUCAGAGGUGAAAUUCUUGGAUUUAUUGAAGACUAACUACUGCGAAAGCAUUUGCCAAGGAUGUUUUCAUUAAUCAGUGAACGAAAGUUAGGGGAUCGAAGACGAUCAGAUA
RNAcentral lists this ribosomal RNA (955 nucleotides) under Neofusicoccum parvum. RNAcentral describes it as "SSU rRNA". It matches the Rfam family "Eukaryotic small subunit ribosomal RNA", at positions 48 to 1014 of the family's 1831-position model. The record is from RNAcentral. Lineage: Eukaryota; Fungi; Ascomycota; Dothideomycetes; Botryosphaeriales; Botryosphaeriaceae.